This 23-nucleotide small nuclear RNA is filed under the name Arabidopsis thaliana (thale cress). Its description in RNAcentral is "snRNA_14197". Lineage: Eukaryota; Viridiplantae; Streptophyta; Magnoliopsida; Brassicales; Brassicaceae. The record is from RNAcentral.
AAGAGAAGGCACUUUGACUUGUU